AUUGAACGCUGGCGGAAUGCUUUACACAUGCAAGUCGAACGGUAGAGGGGGCAACCCCUCGAGAGUGGCGAACGGGUGAGUAAUAUAUCGGAACGUGCCCAGUCGUGGGGGAUAACGUAGCGAAAGUUACGCUAAUACCGCAUACGAUCUACGGAUGAAAGCGGGGGAUCGCAAGCCCUCGCGCGAUUGGAGCGGCCGAUAUCAGAUUAGGUAGUUGGUGGGGUAAAGGCUCACCAAGCCAACGAUCUGUAGCGGGUCUGAGAGGACGACCAGCCACACUGGAACUGAGACACGGUCCAGACUCCUACGGGAGGCAGCAGUGGGGAAUUUUGGACAAUGGACGCAAGUCUGAUCCAGCCAUUCCGCGUGCAGGAUGAAGGCCCUCGGGUUGUAAACUGCUUUUGUACGGAACGAAAAGGUUUCCAUUAAUACUGGGAGCUCAUGACGGUGCCGUAAGAAUAAGCACCGGCUAACUACGUGCCAGCAGCCGCGGUAA
RNAcentral lists this ribosomal RNA (496 nucleotides) under uncultured bacterium. RNAcentral describes it as "partial 16S ribosomal RNA". It matches the Rfam family "Bacterial small subunit ribosomal RNA", at positions 30 to 523 of the family's 1533-position model. The record is from RNAcentral.